This 253-nucleotide ribosomal RNA is filed under the name uncultured bacterium. RNAcentral describes it as "partial 16S ribosomal RNA". It matches the Rfam family "Bacterial small subunit ribosomal RNA", at positions 524 to 776 of the family's 1533-position model. The record is from RNAcentral.
AACGUAGGAGGCAAGCGUUAUCCGGAGUUACUGGGCGUAAAGAGUGCGUAGGCGGAUCUGUAAGUGGGUGGUGAAAGCGCCCGGCUAAACCGGGCGAGGUCCAUUCAGACUGCAGGUCUAGAGGCGGAUAGAGGGGUGCGGAAUUCCGGGUGUAGCGGUGAAAUGUGUAGAGAUCCGGAGGAACACCAGUGGUGCAGACGGCGCCCUGGGUCAGAACUGACGCUGAAGCACGAAAGCGUGGGGAGCGAACGGG